GUGAGGAAUAUUGGACAAUGGGCGCAAGCCUGAUCCAGCCAUGCCGCGUGCAGGAAGACGCAUCUACGGUGUGUAAACUGCUUUUGUACGGGAAGAAACACUCCCUCGUGAGGGAGCUUGACGGUACCGUAAGAAUAAGGAUCGGCUAACUCCGUGCCAGCAGCCGCGGUAAUACGGAGGAUCCAAGCGUUAUCCGGAAUCAUUGGGUUUAAAGGGUCCGUAGGCGGUUUAAUAAGUCAGUGGUGAAAGCCCAUCGCUCAACGAUGGAACGGCCAUUGAUACUGUUAGACUUGAAUUACAAGGAAGUAACUAGAAUAUGUAGUGUAGCGGUGAAAUGCUUAGAUAUUACAUGGAAUACCAAUUGCGAAGGCAGGUUACUACUUGUGGAUUGACGCUGAUGGACGAAAGCGUGGGGAGCGAACAGGAUUAGAUACCCCAGUAGUCC
This 445-nucleotide ribosomal RNA is filed under the name uncultured bacterium. RNAcentral's name for it is "partial 16S ribosomal RNA". It matches the Rfam family "Bacterial small subunit ribosomal RNA", at positions 354 to 796 of the family's 1533-position model. The record is from RNAcentral.